UGUUCUGACUGCUUUCUCCCAUAG
This 24-nucleotide non-coding RNA is filed under the name Cricetulus griseus (Chinese hamster). Lineage: Eukaryota; Metazoa; Chordata; Mammalia; Rodentia; Cricetidae. The record is from RNAcentral.